Molecule: transfer RNA, 73 nt
Filed under: Agrilus planipennis (emerald ash borer)
Lineage: Eukaryota; Metazoa; Arthropoda; Insecta; Coleoptera; Buprestidae
Rfam family: tRNA
About the family: Transfer RNA (tRNA) molecules are approximately 80 nucleotides in length.
Source: Rfam by way of RNAcentral
UCUCUCAUAGGUUAGUGGUCAAAGCAUUGGUGCGUAAAGCCAAAGGUCCCGGGUUCGAUUCCCGGCGAGAUUG